UAAUACCUGAUAAGCCCACGGGGUCUUCGGACCUUGCGGGAAAAGGGGGGGACCUUCGGGCCUUCUGUCGUCGGAUGAGUCCGCGUACCAUUAGCUAGUUGGUGGGGUAAAGGCCUACCAAGGCGACGAUGGUUAGCUGGUCUGAGAGGAUGAUCAGCCACACUGGAACUGAGACACGGUCCAGACUCCUACGGGAGGCAGCAGUGGGGAAUUUUGCGCAAUGGGGGAAACCCUGACGCAGCAACGCCGCGUGAGUGAUGAAGGCCUUCGGGUCGUAAAGCUCUGUCAGAGGGAAAGAAGUGUGCUAUGGCUAAUAUCCAUGGCACUUGACGGUACCCUCAAAGGAAGCACCGGCUAACUCCGUGCCAGCAGCCGCGGUAAUACGGAGGGUGCGAGCGUUGUUCGGAAUUAUUGGGCGUAAAGCGCGUGUAGGCGGUUUUUUAAGUCUGAUGUGAAAGCCCUGGGCUCAACCUGGGAAGUGCAUUGGAAACUGGAAGACUUGAGUACGGGAGAGGGCAGUGGAAUUCCUAGUGUAGGAGUGAAAUCCGUAGAUAUUAGGAGGAACACCGGUGGCGAAGGCGGCUGCCUGGACCGAUACUGACGCUGAGACGCGAAAGCGUGGGGAGCAAACAGGAUUAGAUACCCUGGUAGUCCACGCCGUAAACGAUGAGUACUAGGUGUCGCGGGUA
RNAcentral lists this ribosomal RNA (689 nucleotides) under uncultured Geobacter sp. RNAcentral describes it as "bacterial SSU rRNA". It matches the Rfam family "Bacterial small subunit ribosomal RNA", at positions 164 to 831 of the family's 1533-position model. The record is from RNAcentral. Lineage: Bacteria; Pseudomonadati; Thermodesulfobacteriota; Desulfuromonadia; Geobacterales; Geobacteraceae.